RNAcentral lists this transfer RNA (72 nucleotides) under Diaphorina citri (Asian citrus psyllid). It matches the Rfam family "tRNA". From Rfam's summary of the family: Transfer RNA (tRNA) molecules are approximately 80 nucleotides in length. Their secondary structure includes four short double-helical elements and three loops (D, anti-codon, and T loops). The record is from Rfam by way of RNAcentral. Lineage: Eukaryota; Metazoa; Arthropoda; Insecta; Hemiptera; Psyllidae.
ACCUCGGUGGUGUAGUGAUCAAGAAGCUCGCCUGCUAAUCAAGAGGGCGUGGGUUCAAUCCCAACCGAGGUG